UUAGUCAAGUAAGUAAGGGCGUACGGCGGAUGCCUUGGCCAUAUCAGCCGAAGAAGGACGCGAUAAGCUGCGAUAAGCUGCGGUGAGGUGCAAGUAACCUUUGACCCGCAGGUCUCCGAAUGGGGAAACCCGGCAGCAGUAGUGCUGUCAUCCUCUAUGAGGAAGGGCACCCGGUGAACUGAAACAUCUAAGUAGCCGGAGGAAAAGGAAUCAACAGAGAUACCCCUAGUAGCGGCGAGCGAACGGGGCAGAGCCCAAACCGGAAUGGGAAACCAAUCCGGGGUUGUGGACUGCUAUCAAAUGCAUGAGUGAAGCAGAAUGAGCUGGGAAGCUCAGCCAGAGAGAGUGAGAGCCUCGUAGGCGUAAGCAAAUGCAUGGAGCAGGAUCCAGAGUACCACGGGACACGAGAAACCCUGUGGGAAGCUGGGGGGACCACCCUCCAAGGCGAAACACUGAUAUGGACCGAUAGCGCAUAGUACCGUGAGGGAAAGGUGAAAAGAACCCCGGGAGGGGAAUGAAAGAGAACCUGAAACCGUAUGUCUACAAGCAGUCGAAGACCUUUAUAUGGUCGACGGCGUGCCUAUUGAAGAAUGAACCGGCGAGUUACUUCAGCUAGCGAGGUUAAGCGGAAAACGUGGAGCCGAAGCGAAAGCGAGUCUGAACAGGGCGUAUAGUUAGUUGGAGUAGACCCGAAACCACAGUGAUCUACCCAUGUCCAGGUUGAAGCACAGGUAAAAAUGUGUGGAGGACCGAACCAGUGAGCGUUGAAAAGCUUUUGGAUGAGAUGUGGGUAGGGGUGAAAUGCCAAUCGAACGUGGAGAUAGCUGGUUCUCCCCGAAAUAGCUUUAGGGCUAGCCUCAUGGCGAGAGUACAGGCGGUAGAGCACUGAACGGGGUAGGGGCCUAUCCGGCUACUGAACCUAAUCAAACUGCGAAUGGCUGUACUUAUCCAUGGGAGUCAGACUGUGAGUAAUAAGGCCCAUAGUCAAGAGGGAAACAGCCCAGACCAACAGCUAAGGUCCCCAAUGCCGUACUAAGUGGCGAAGGAUGUGGAAUUUCGAAAACAACCAGGAUGUUGGCUCAGAAGCAGCCACCAUUAAAAGAGUGCGUAAUAGCUCACUGGUCGAGAGACUCUGCGCCGAAGAUGUCCGGGGCUAAAGUACGGAACCGAAGCUUUGGCAAUUGACAUUAGUCAAUUGGGUAGGGGAGCGUUCCUGCAUGGGAGAAGCCUGACCGGAAGGACAGGUGGACAGGCAGGAAGAGAGAAUGCCGGUAUGAGUAGCGAAAAGAAGGGUGAGAAUCCCUUCCACCGAAAGCCUAAGGGUUCCUGGGCAACGAUCGUCGUCCCAGGGUAAGUCGGGACCUAAUCCGAGGCGGAGACGCGUAGGAGAUGGACAACAGGUUGAAAUUCCUGUACUGGCUGAGGCCGUUUGAGCGAAGGAGUGACACAGGAAGGAAGGCGCGCGUGCGAUUGGAAGAGCACGUCCAAGCAGGUAGGUUGGGAGACAGGCAAAUCCGUUUCCCAUGAGGCCGAGAUGCGAUGGGGAGCUUCUGGAGACAGAAGCGAAGGGGCUGGCACUAAACUGUCGAGAAAAGCUUCUAGUGAGGACUCAGGCACCCGUACCGAAACCGACACAGGUAGGCAGGAUGAGAAUUCUAAGGUGCGCGGGAAAACCCUCGUUAAGGAACUCGGCAAAAUAUAUCCGUAACUUCGGGAAAAGGAUAACCCAGCGUACGUGAAGUGCAGAAGCGCACGGAGCGGAGAUGGGUGGCAGAAGAGAGGCCCAAGCGACUGUUUACCACAAACACAGGCGUCUGCUAAAGCGAAAGCUGAUGUAUAGAUGCUGACACCUGCCCGGUGCUGGAAGGUUAAGAGGAAGUGUUAGCGCAAGCGAAGCAGUGAAUUGAAGCCCCAGUAAACGGCGGCCGUAACUAUAACGGUCCUAAGGUAGCGAAAUUCCUUGUCGGGUAAGUUCCGACCCGCACGAAAGGUGUAACGAUUUGGGCACUGUCUCAACGAGGGACCCGGUGAAAUUGAAGUACCUGUGAAGAUGCAGGUUACCCGCGACUGGACAGAAAGACCCCAUGGAGCUUUACUGUAACCUGAGAUUGGAUUCCGGUAAGAGAUGUACAGGAUAGUUGGGAGGCUU
RNAcentral lists this ribosomal RNA (2149 nucleotides) under Megasphaera elsdenii. Its description in RNAcentral is "bacterial LSU rRNA". It matches the Rfam family "Bacterial large subunit ribosomal RNA", at positions 1 to 2157 of the family's 2925-position model. Lineage: Bacteria; Bacillati; Bacillota; Negativicutes; Veillonellales; Veillonellaceae. The record is from RNAcentral.